GACGAACGCUGGCGGCGUGCUUAACACAUGCAAGUCGAACGAAGAGCGAUGGAAGCUUGCUUCUAUCAAUCUUAGUGGCGAACGGGUGAGUAACGCGUAAUCAACCUGCCCUUCAGAGGGGGACAACAGUUGGAAACGACUGCUAAUGCCGCAUACGAUCUGACCUCGGCAUCGAGGAUAGAUGAAAGGUGGCCUCUAUUUAUAAGCUAUCACUGAAGGAGGGGAUUGCGUCUGAUUAGCUAGUUGGAGGGGUAACGGCCCACCAAGGCGAUGAUCAGUAGCCGGUCUGAGAGGAUGAACGGCCACAGUGGGACUGAGACACGGCCCAGACUCCUACGGGAGGCAGCAGUGGGGAAUCUUCCGCAAUGGACGAAAGUCUGACGGAGCAACGCCGCGUGAGUGAUGACGGCCUUCGGGUUGUAAAGCUCUGUUAAUCGGGACGAAAGGCCUUCUUGCGAAUAGUUAGAAGGAUUGACGGUACCGGAAGAGAAAGCCACGGCUAACUACGUG
This 510-nucleotide ribosomal RNA is filed under the name uncultured bacterium. RNAcentral's name for it is "partial 16S ribosomal RNA". It matches the Rfam family "Bacterial small subunit ribosomal RNA", at positions 28 to 507 of the family's 1533-position model. The record is from RNAcentral.